AUCCCUGUGGCUCAGUUGGUAGAGCAUGGUGUGUGCAAUGCCAGGGUUGUGGGUUCAAUUCCCACGGGGGGCC
RNAcentral lists this transfer RNA (73 nucleotides) under Salmo salar (Atlantic salmon). It matches the Rfam family "tRNA". Rfam says of the family: Transfer RNA (tRNA) molecules are approximately 80 nucleotides in length. Their secondary structure includes four short double-helical elements and three loops (D, anti-codon, and T loops). Further hydrogen bonds mediate the characteristic L-shaped molecular structure. tRNAs have two regions of fundamental functional importance: the anti-codon, which is responsible for specific mRNA codon recognition, and the 3' end, to which the tRNAs corresponding amino acid is attached (by aminoacyl-tRNA synthetases). tRNAs cope with the degeneracy of the genetic code in two manners: having more than one tRNA (with a specific anti-codon) for a particular amino acid; and 'wobble' base-pairing, i.e. permitting non-standard base-pairing at the 3rd anti-codon position. The record is from Rfam by way of RNAcentral. Lineage: Eukaryota; Metazoa; Chordata; Actinopteri; Salmoniformes; Salmonidae. RNAcentral also lists the same sequence under 1 other name.